UACAGAGGUCUCAAGCGUUGUUCGGAUUCAUUGGGCGUAAAGGGUGCGUAGGCGGCGUCGUAAGUCGGGUGUGAAAUCUCGGGGCUUAACUCCGAAAUUGCAUUCGAUACUGCGGUGCUUGAGGACUGGAGAGGAGACUGGAAUUCACGGUGUAGCAGUGAAAUGCGUAGAUAUCGUAAGGAACGCCAGUGGCGAAAGCGAAUCUCUGGGCAGCAACUGACGCUGAGGCACGAAGGCCAGGGGAGCAAACGGG
Molecule: ribosomal RNA, 253 nt
Filed under: uncultured bacterium
Lineage: Bacteria
Description: partial 16S ribosomal RNA
Rfam family: Bacterial small subunit ribosomal RNA
Source: RNAcentral